Molecule: RNA transcript, 3624 nt
Organism: Mytilus californianus (California mussel)
Lineage: Eukaryota; Metazoa; Mollusca; Bivalvia; Mytilida; Mytilidae
Exons: 8
Source: RefSeq, a predicted model, not a curated record
UCAAGAACUUUUAAGUUAAUUGAAUUAAUAGUAUUCUAUUCAAUCGACGGCAUAGCAUUGUCAACGCAUGUAGCAGUCACAUUAUUUCUUUAUCUGCUGCCAAUAUCUUUGGCAUGGGUACAUUUUCAUUAGAAAAUAUUUCCGUAUUUGGUUUACAUAAAAUUGUUUACAAGAAAAGACUCACAUUUACUCUUAAUCUCUAAAGCAAAGUAUUUCUCAUUGCUUCUUCUAAUUGUAGACCAAAGGUUUUGUCGUUCCCCAGGAUUUUUUUCCACAGAGACAGCUCCUUCUUACAGUUUGAAGCCUCCAGGUCCAGAUUAUGAACUAAACAUUUGGUUAACAAAAAUUGCACUGAAGCUGAAUGCAAAGAAUUUAGACACUAUGAAGUUUAUUCUUGGAGGAGAAGAUGGAUCUCCAAGAUCAGUCUUAGAAAAAAUAACAUCGCCAUUGCAGCUGUUUAGCCAUUUAAUAGAUGAUGGUAAAUUAACACGUGAUAACAUUUUAUUCCUGCAAGCCAUGCUAUAUCAUGCUAGAAGGAUCGAUCUGUAUAAAAAGUUAAUGGAAUAUGGUGAAAAGUAUAAGGAUACUUUACAUUUUUAUGAACCUAGUUGUAAUCAAGAAAACGGGAACAGAGGUGUCAAAUUUCACGUUUCUUGUAAAAAAGAAACAUGUACAAAUAAUCUGGAAGACAUAAGGGCUAAGGCAGCAAGAUAUAUGAGUGUUGAUAUACAUUUUGUAUCGAUUCAGAGGUUGCGUGGUCACAAAUAGGUUUUUGGUUACAUUAAUGGUUCCUGAAGUAUGAGUAUAGUUCCUGUUGAACGGGAUUCUACAGGGAACAAUCAUCCUUGUCUGUUGUAAUAGACUAUUCAUGGUGGACGACGAGACAUGGUCACAAAUAGGUUUUGGGUUACAUUAAUGGUUCCUGAAGUAUGAGUAGAGUUCCUGUUGAAUGGGAUUCUACAGGAAACAGUCAUCCCUGUCUGUUGUAAUAGACUAUUCAUGGUGGACGACGAGACAUUUUCAUGGAAGAAGGAUGUGAAUAAAAUUGAUCAACUGACAACACAUGUCACUGGAGUUGUUUCCCAUUGACAAAACAAGUUCUUCAAUUUUCUUAUCUGACAAUGAAUAUCUUUAUGCUGAUUCGUAACGAGAUUGAACAAAUUAUGGAAAAUAAUAUUAGAUACUAAACUAAUUUUAGGGAAAGUAUGGAGUGCCAAGAGCACAAUAAUGAAACUUUUCAACUCAAACGUAAAAUUUGUGCUUUUGUAUGGAGCAGAAACAUGGAGAACAACUUAAACAAUGUUAUCAAGACUCCAAAGGUUCAUCAACUACUGCCUGAGGAGAAUCAUGCACAUCAGAUGGUUUGACAAAGUAUGAAAUGAAGACCUAUGGAAAAGAGCUGAUCAAGAACCAAUUAACAUCCAAAUCAAGAAACGAAAAUGGGUAUGGAUAGGCCACACACUGCGAAAAACAACAAGCAGCAUUACAAGGCAGGCACUUAAAUGGAACCCUCAAGGAAAAAGAAACAGAGGAAAACUAAGGAACACCUGGCGCAGGGACACAUAAUUUGAAAUGAAGCAACAGGGAUACAACUGGAACACUUUAGAGAAACAGGCGCUAAAUCGAGUUAGAUGGAGGGUGUUCGUGAAUGGCAUAUGCUCCCCGGAGGAGCUAAGGGCCUAAGAAAGGUAGCAAGUUACCGACUAUUUUGUAUUUGCAAGCAGAUAAUUGUUGGCUGGAAAAUAAAAGUCCAUAUGCACAGGCUUUUUUGUGAACUCCUUGUUCACCAAUACGUUUAAAUUAGGUGCAUUUAUCAUUUUGACGAGUUGAACAUACACACGAAGAUGUGGCUGCUACUUUAACAUGUUUAGGCCGAGUAUUAUAGCUGAAACUCUUCGUAGGAAUGAUUUUGAAACUAUGCCUCGUCUGAAGGAAAUGCUUCCGAACUUUAAGGAUUUUGAAGCAAUUUUUGACAUUCAUUCAUGGAUUAUAUGAAGCCUUUAUGCCAUUCGAAAGCAUACUAAACCUCUGAAUUAUAUGUGUAUGCGGGAUUUAGCUACAAAUACUGUGAAAAAGCAAUAUAAAGCUUUUUAAGACGGCGAAUGGAAAACAGAACAUAGAAUAAUUCAAUUACUAGUAAUUUCAGGAAGACUAAAUUUACCAACGGGAAUACCAAGAGGAACCAAUCCUUAGUUUGAGAAGAUAGAUUAAAAUCUAGAAUACCACAGUGGCAAGAUUUAUUCACUGAUCAAAUAGAUCAUCAAAGGGAACAGGGGUGGGCGGAUUUACCAUACAGAUGAACAAAAGUUAUAUCAAAGGCAAAAUUGAAUCUUCCGUUGUUACCCAAACAGCAAUUGGAAAAAGAAAGGCCCUCGAGUGAUCAAGACAUUGCAGCAGAGAUAAGGAAACUAUUGGAAAAUCAGAAGGAGAGAGAGAUGAAUUUUCUGUGCAAGUGAGGCCAAAACAAUCAAAACGGACAUACAAAGGGAACAGAAAGACACAGAAGAGAAAACAGGUCAAGAAAAGAAAACGAAGAGGAAUAUCAAGGAAACUGCCAGACAAAUCUACUCUUCAUAUAUUUAUUUCAUUUAAACUAGAAUUAACUACGAAAAACAUAGAUUAUAUAUAGCGAUAUAUUUUCUGUUUGAAUAAUUAUUCGUGUAUUGUUUAAUUAACGAAUAUUUGCAUUUAGUUGGGUUUUAUUUUUAUCUCAAAAUAUUUUUAAAUUUUUUGGAAAGAAUUGUUAGAUCACAUAAAAAUCCUUCUAUUUCAAACCAUCUUUAAUAUGUAUUAUUUAAGCACAUGAGACAGUUGUCGGUACUCUUUAACCACUCCAAACCUAUUUGAAAUGUUCUAUUGUUUAAUAUAACCCAAAGUUAUUCUCCAAAUAAUCCAAAUAGUUAAUUGUUGAUAACAUAUAAGAGACCCGAACUGAUUUGAAACUAAAUUUAAAUCCAAGAUGUUUCUUUUUGUCGACUUUGUUUUUGCUUUUUACACUUCUCUGAUGGUCUACUUUUGAUAUUUUUCGUUGUGAUACUGAUAAAACAAGAGUCAAUACUAAGAACUCAUUUAAGAAAACACAGCAAGACCCUUUUCUCUUCUGGUUUAAAGACCAGUUUAUACACUGAGUUUUAAACAGGACAAUUUUUGUUUCCUUGUUUGAUUAUUUUUUUUAUGUGAAUAAGAAAAUAUAUUAAUAUUUGGUCUAGACCAGAAUAAUAUAAAUGUGAAACGUCUGUAGACUUUCAUUUUGGUCGGAAGAUCACGUUACAUUUUUUGCUUUUUAUUAAGACUCUGUUUAUGGUUUUUAUACGCCCGUUUACGGGACAUAUUAUGGUAUACCGUUGUCCAUCCGCCCGUCUGUCCGUCCGUCGUCAACAUGUCGGACAUUAACUCAAAAACGCUUUAACUAAUUUGCAUGAAACUUUGGUGAAUUGUUUAUAUCUAUUGACGUGAGCGUCCUUUCGAUUUUUAUAAAUUUUAGAUUUUAUGUUUCCGAGUUAUGGGGUUAUAUUCAUUAAAAAAGGGGGAUUUUCCAGUUUUCGGACAUUAGCUCAAAAGUUUACUGAGCAGUUUUCAUGAAACUUUGGUGACUGUUUUAUAUCUAUUAAUCUAUUAAAAUAA